RNAcentral lists this long non-coding RNA (319 nucleotides) under Monodelphis domestica (gray short-tailed opossum). RNAcentral's name for it is "lncRNA (ENSMODG00000035698.2)". Lineage: Eukaryota; Metazoa; Chordata; Mammalia; Didelphimorphia; Didelphidae. The record is from RNAcentral.
CUGUCCUAUCAGAAUAAAAGCUCUGACAAGUUUGUUGUUUUUUUUUUCCCCUAGCUGGAACAGCUUCAAACAUGAUCUUCACACAGGAUUAUGCUUUCUGAGGCCCAGUAUAACUGAAUAUCGAAAAAUUGACUAUUCAUGUAUAUAUUUCUUCAGAUCUAUCCAUGAGCCUCAGGUUAAGAACCCUGGAAGUCUUACCUAAAGCUCCAUCCAAUUGAUUCUGUGGCUUGUUCAGGAGAAAAAAUAUACAAGAAUUUUGCAUGAAUUAGGUUCCAGAAAAAGUUAUAACGGGAAUAAAAAUAAACCAGUAAAUUGUACA